UACAGAGGUCCCAAGCGUUGUUCGGAUUCACUGGGCGUAAAGGGUGCGUAGGUGGCCAGGUAAGUUUGGUGUGAAAGCUCGGAGCUUAACUCCGAAAAGUCAUUGAAUACUAUCUGGCUGGAGGGUCGGAGGGGAGACUGGAAUUCUCGGUGUAGCAGUGGAAAAUGCGUAGAUAUCGAGAGGAACACCAGUGGCGAAGGCGAGUCUCUGGACGACUCCUGACACUGAGG
Molecule: ribosomal RNA, 230 nt
Filed under: uncultured bacterium
Lineage: Bacteria
Description: partial 16S ribosomal RNA
Rfam family: Bacterial small subunit ribosomal RNA
Source: RNAcentral